This 465-nucleotide ribosomal RNA is filed under the name uncultured bacterium. Its description in RNAcentral is "partial 16S ribosomal RNA". It matches the Rfam family "Bacterial small subunit ribosomal RNA", at positions 28 to 507 of the family's 1533-position model. The record is from RNAcentral.
GACGAACGCUGGCGGCGUGCUUAACACAUGCAAGUCGAACGGAGAGGCCCUGCUUGCAGGGUACUCGAGUGGCGAACGGGUGAGUAACACGUGGGUGAUCUGCCCUGCACUUCGGGAUAAGCCUGGGAAACUGGGUCUAAUACCGGAUAGGAGCCAUUUUUAGUGUGAUGGUUGGAAAGUUUUUUCGGUGUAGGAUGAGCUCGCGGCCUAUCAGCUUGUUGGUGGGGUAAUGGCCUACCAAGGCGGCGACGGGUAGCCGGCCUGAGAGGGUGGACGGCCACAUUGGGACUGAGAUACGGCCCAGACUCCUACGGGAGGCAGCAGUGGGGAAGAUUGCACAAUGGGCGCAAGCCUGAUGCAGCGACGCCGCGUGGGGGAUGACGGCCUUCGGGUUGUAAACUCCUUUCGCUAGGGACGAAGCUUUUUGUGACGGUACCUAGAUAAGAAGCACCGGCUAACUACGUG